This 357-nucleotide unclassified non-coding RNA is filed under the name soil metagenome. Its description in RNAcentral is "partial contains 5.8S ribosomal RNA, internal transcribed spacer 2, and large subunit ribosomal RNA". The stretch from base 1 to 120 matches the Rfam family "5.8S ribosomal RNA", at positions 35 to 154 of the family's 154-position model. The record is from RNAcentral.
GAUGAAGAACGUAGCGAAAUGCGAUAAGUAAUGUGAAUUGCAGAAUUCAGUGAAUCAUCGAAUCUUUGAACGCACAUUGCGCCCGCUGGUAUUCCGGCGGGCAUGCCUGUUCGAGCGUCAUUUCAACCCUCAAGCUCUCCGGAGUUUGGUGUUGGGGCGCCUGGGGCUUUUCGACCUCAGGGCCCUCAAGUCCAUCGGCGGGACCGCCAGGAAACUGAGCGCAGUAGUAUUAUUUCGCUCGGUAGGAUCUUCCACGGCGGGUCGAUCUGGCCGCUAAACCCCCCAAUUCUCACCAAAGGUUGACCUCGGAUCAGGUAGGAAUACCCGCUGAACUUAAGCAUAUCAAUAAGCGGAGGA